RNAcentral lists this transfer RNA (76 nucleotides) under Rickettsiales endosymbiont of Stachyamoeba lipophora. Its description in RNAcentral is "tRNA-Thr". It matches the Rfam family "tRNA". From Rfam's summary of the family: Transfer RNA (tRNA) molecules are approximately 80 nucleotides in length. Their secondary structure includes four short double-helical elements and three loops (D, anti-codon, and T loops). Lineage: Bacteria; Pseudomonadati; Pseudomonadota; Alphaproteobacteria; Rickettsiales. The record is from RNAcentral.
GCCGCUAUAGCUCAGCUGGUAGAGCAACGCUUUCGUAAAGCGUGGGUCGGGGGUUCGAAUCCCUUUGGCGGCACCA